CGUCCCGCCUGCCCUGUGAUUUAAUUUAACGGCCGCGGUAUCUUGACCGCGCAAAGGUAGCAUAAUCAAUUGUUCUUUAAAUAAGGACUAGUAUGAACGGCACCACGAGGGUUUAACUGUCUCCCUAUUUUAACCAAUGAAAUUGAUCUUCCCGUGAAGAAGCGGGAAUAUAAAUAUAAGACGAAAAGACCCCAUGGAGCUUUAAACUUACUUUCAAUUACCAAAACAAAAACACAUACCCGGUAAAAAUGACAAUAAUUUUCGGUUGGGGCGACCCUGGAGAAAAGUAAAUCCUCCAAGAUGAAUAGACUAAAAAAUCUAAUGGUAGAAUUACCACCUAAAACAAUCAAAACCUGGACAAAUGGCCCCGAAUAAAAUCCGAAUCAACAAACCAGUUACCCUGGGGAAUAACGCGCAAUCCAUUUCAAGAACCCUUAUCGACAAAAGGGUUUUCCAACUCCAAGGUGGAACCGGAAUUUCCAAGCAGCGCGCUGGUGGUUCGGGUUCCUUUGUUCCACGAAUAAUUACCCCCC
RNAcentral lists this ribosomal RNA (533 nucleotides) under Hyperolius lamottei (Ivory Coast reed frog). Its description in RNAcentral is "partial 16S ribosomal RNA". It matches the Rfam family "Bacterial large subunit ribosomal RNA", at positions 1851 to 2599 of the family's 2925-position model. Lineage: Eukaryota; Metazoa; Chordata; Amphibia; Anura; Hyperoliidae. The record is from RNAcentral.